This 744-nucleotide ribosomal RNA is filed under the name uncultured bacterium. Its description in RNAcentral is "bacterial SSU rRNA". It matches the Rfam family "Bacterial small subunit ribosomal RNA", at positions 94 to 823 of the family's 1533-position model. The record is from RNAcentral.
AGCGGCGGAUGGGUGAGUAACACGUGGGGAACCUGCCCCUAAGUCUGGGAUACCAUUUGGAACCAGGUGCUAAUACCGGAUAAUAAAGCAGAUCGCAUGAUCAGCUUUUGAAAGGCGGCGUAAGCUGUCGCUAAGGGAUGGCCCCGCGGUGCAUUAGCUAGUUGGUAAGGUAACGGCUUACCAAGGCGACGAUGCAUAGCCGAGUUGAGAGACUGAUCGGCCACAUUGGGACUGAGACACGGCCCAAACUCCUACGGGAGGCAGCAGUAGGGAAUCUUCCACAAUGGACGCAAGUCUGAUGGAGCAACGCCGCGUGAGUGAAGAAGGUUUUCGGAUCGUAAAGCUCUGUUGUUGGUGAAGAAGGAUAGAGGUAGUAACUGGCCUUUAUUUGACGGUAAUCAACCAGAAAGUCACGGCUAACUACGUGCCAGCAGCCGCGGUAAUACGUAGGUGGCAAGCGUUGUCCGGAUUUAUUGGGCGUAAAGCGAGCGCAGGCGGAAAAAUAAGUCUAAUGUGAAAGCCCUCGGCUUAACCGAGGAACUGCAUCGGAAACUGUUUUUCUUGAGUGCAGAAGAGGAGAGUGGAACUCCAUGUGUAGCGGUGGAAUGCGUAGAUAUAUGGAAGAACACCAGUGGCGAAAGGCGGCUCUCUGGUCUGCAACUGACGCUGAGGCUCGAAAGCAUGGGUAGCGAACAGGAUUAGAUACCCUGGUAGUCCAUGCCGUAAACGAUGAGUGCUAAGUGU